RNAcentral lists this long non-coding RNA (1106 nucleotides) under Ananas comosus (pineapple). RNAcentral describes it as "long non-coding RNA (ACOM_LNC005441)". The record is from RNAcentral. Lineage: Eukaryota; Viridiplantae; Streptophyta; Magnoliopsida; Poales; Bromeliaceae.
UUUUUUUUUGACUAGAUUUUUUUUUGAAAUUCAAAAAGCUCUCCCUUCCCAUUUUUUUUGAGAGGUAUUUAUGGGGUGAUUUGAGGGGGACGUGCGUACGAUUUGAGGGUGGUUGAGGAAAACGUGCGUAUGGGUGAGGAGGUUACGGGAUCGUGGGAUGGGGUCGUGGGAUGUGGGUGGUUGUAACCGAUUUGAGGGAAACGUGCGAUGAGAAUCCAGGAUUGUGGGAGAGAUUUUGUAUGGUCACGAUGGGAUUGUGAAAUAAUGGAUGGUUAUGAUGGAAUCGUGGAGAUAUUGGGUGGUUACGAUAGGAUUGUGGGAAUAUUGCGGAUUAGUCCUUUCCCUUUGCUCAUAUUACACCUUAGUCAAUACAAUAGAAUAUUAUAUGAUUAAAGCGGAGCAUUUUGUAAAUACGUGAAAAGGAAAGGGCUAAUAUGCUAUUUUUUAAUACCCGUUCGUAUCUACGAGAACGUCCCACUUUUCGUAAUUUAUGCUCCCGGUGCAUGAUAUAUUUUCAAAAUUUAAAUUUUAUCCAUGCACCUGGUGCAUGGAUAAUCUCAUAAACCAUCUCUAUUUUCUAUUUCUUUCUCUCCCCUUUUUUUUUCUUUUUUUCCUCUUUUAUUCCUCUCUCUUUUUUUUUUAUGCUUCAACAGUAUGUAUAGUGAACUGAAACCUCUCUUAAGUAGAGGAAUUCAUGUAUGUGACCUAGUCAGUUAGUUUCGUGACUCUUAUCGUUUGAUGAUCUAUGAGGUCGGUGUACCAUGAGGGGUAGGAUUGUCGGCUAGUGGCUGACGGUAGUUUUGAAUUUUAUUGAUACAUGAUGUGACAUUCGUGUGACCUAUUGGUCGAUUCUUGCACAUACAUUUAGUUGACAUUAAGCAGUACUUGCAUAGUUUUGGGAGGAUGUUGAGUUGUUCCAUCCUAGAUGACCUGAGUGGUCGGUACUUGUGCUUCCUUACAGUUUAAUGACCUAUUGGUCGGUGUGCCCUCAGGGGCGAUGAUUGUCGGCUAGUUGCUGACGGUUGGCUAUUGAUCAUAUCCGCAUUGAUUGCCACAGCUCGAAUGCAUUUCACGUACACCAGCAAGUUGAACCCCCGCAGGAGGGU